Molecule: ribosomal RNA, 556 nt
Filed under: Fusarium oxysporum
Lineage: Eukaryota; Fungi; Ascomycota; Sordariomycetes; Hypocreales; Nectriaceae
Description: eukaryotic LSU rRNA
Rfam family: 5.8S ribosomal RNA (bases 202-355)
Source: RNAcentral
AAGUUAAAAAGUGUAACAAGGUCUCCGUUGGUGAACCAGCGGAGGGAUCAUUACCGAGUUUACAACUCCCAAACCCCUGUGAACAUACCACUUGUUGCCUCGGCGGAUCAGCCCGCUCCCGGUAAAACGGGACGGCCCGCCAGAGGACCCCUAAACUCUGUUUCUAUAUGUAACUUCUGAGUAAAACCAUAAAUAAAUCAAAACUUUCAACAACGGAUCUCUUGGUUCUGGCAUCGAUGAAGAACGCAGCAAAAUGCGAUAAGUAAUGUGAAUUGCAGAAUUCAGUGAAUCAUCGAAUCUUUGAACGCACAUUGCGCCCGCCAGUAUUCUGGCGGGCAUGCCUGUUCGAGCGUCAUUUCAACCCUCAAGCACAGCUUGGUGUUGGGACUCGCGUUAAUUCGCGUUCCCCAAAUUGAUUGGCGGUCACGUCGAGCUUCCAUAGCGUAGUAGUAAAACCCUCGUUACUGGUAAUCGUCGCGGCCACGCCGUUAAACCCCAACUUCUGAAUGUUGACCUCGGAUCAGGUAGGAAUACCCGCUGAACUUAAGCAUAUCAU